CUUAUAUCUAUGGCAGGGGGAACGCCAAUCUGAUCGAUGAAGACCUCGUUGGGUGAGGGUACCACACUGCCCGCCACACAUGUUCCGGGCCCUUGCAUAAGUGGCACUGUAAGACUAAGUGCUAAUGAUCGCUAAGGCUGAAGUGCGUCAGCUCAACGUCUGACGCUAGGCCUGAUGCUAGCCAAAAUACCCUAAUCGAGGUGGAGCGCCGAACCGUUGGGAGACAUGGCUGGUAACAUCGUGCACACAUCGGGACCGGCAUUCCCGGUACUACUGAACUGCAGUAGGGGUGGAAGGAGGCCAAACAGUGGCCGUCAGAGGAAUCUCACGGGUGGAAUUGCACGACCAUUGAUUCCUGUUCCCAACGCGAGCAAUGCCCUGGAAUUUGGGUUGGUAGAAGUGCCUGUGUCCCUCGACUGCUUGUCCGGGUACGUUCGUGGACACCAAAGGCUAAGGGCCUUCUCCGUGAGAGGCGGUAGAGAACGUUUCUAAGGCCCUUGUACAGUUCCCGGGUCCAAUUCCAAGAAGCGCCGCAACGGAAGCCUUAAAUUUUGGUGUACGAAGGUGGCGCGAACACGCCCCGGGGGCAGGUUAAGGUUAAACUCAAAAAUUUGGAACGGCCCGGCAAUUGAGGGGUUCCGCCAGCCUGAAUUAGCGCCAAUCGAACGCGGUGAAUUCUAGAGUUUCCUAAGGUUGCCGUAUCAGCUGUAGCAAAAUGCCGCACCCUGAUGGUCCCCAUAGAUUUAGGACAAACGAGGGGGUGCGAAAGCGUGGUAGUCACAGUUCAUAGUCAGGUUCCACCAAGCGGGAAGCGGGUGACCACUAAGGGAAGGAUAUAGUAGGAUGCGUAAAAAGUGGCGAAUGUGUGUCCUUUAAGGUUGGUGGGAGGAUGGCAUUGAGAUCCAGGUCCGUCAAUAUACCCUACGUUAAAGGGGUCCCAACCCUCGGGGCCCUCUUAAAGGUGUAGGGUAGCAAUGGGUUUGGUGGGAUUGCGCGUUACGGAAAUAUGCGGGUUCAUUAUUAGGCUUUAAUUGCCGAGACGGUGGGAAAGCAUAAUAUUGGCGCCCGACGACCGGUGCUUCAAUUCGGGCCACCGAAUAAGACCAACCUUGCAUUGCAGGUUUGUGUCGUUCCCAUAAAUUGUAAAUGACGGGAAGAAGGAAGGGUUGGAAUUUCACCAGAAAUGUUAAGGCUUCUGGAAGAAGUGUGUGCGCCGUACCGACCUAGUCCGAAAGCGGGUAACAGGUUAUAAGGGGUGACGACGGAGGGCAUCCUCAGACCUGGCACAGAGUCAAGGUCACACUGACUAGUAGGAGAGUCUGGUCAAUGCCUAGCAGCGGAACCAUCCGGAAAUGGGGUGGUUGAUCGAUUAGGCUGGAUCCGAGUAGACUAUCGCGUUCCGGGCUUCCAGGGGACGAAAGAGGGCAUCCUGCAUACGCCAUGAAUCGCAAGGAAAGCUUGUGCAACAGGGGGUGAUGGUCCGUCUAAGCUAUCCGUAAUGAGUGGGCAGCGCGGCGACUAGG
Molecule: ribosomal RNA, 1523 nt
Filed under: Stutzerimonas stutzeri
Lineage: Bacteria; Pseudomonadati; Pseudomonadota; Gammaproteobacteria; Pseudomonadales; Pseudomonadaceae
Description: Pseudomonas stutzeri partial 16S ribosomal RNA
Source: RNAcentral